Molecule: ribosomal RNA, 253 nt
Filed under: uncultured bacterium
Lineage: Bacteria
Description: partial 16S ribosomal RNA
Rfam family: Bacterial small subunit ribosomal RNA
Source: RNAcentral
CACGUAGGGGGCGAGCGUUGUCCGGAUUUAUUGGGCGUAAAGAGCUCGUAGGCGGCUUGUCGCGUCGACUGUGAAAACUCGGGGCUCAACUCCGAGCUUGCAGUCGAUACGGGCAGGCUAGAGUUCGGUAGGGGAGACUGGAAUUCCUGGUGUAGCGGUGAAGUGCGCAGAUAUCAGGAAGAACACCCGUGGCGAAGGCGGCUCUCUGGGACGGUACUGACGCUGAGACGCGAAAGCGUGGGGAGCGAACAGG